RNAcentral lists this ribosomal RNA (104 nucleotides) under Pteropus alecto (black flying fox). Lineage: Eukaryota; Metazoa; Chordata; Mammalia; Chiroptera; Pteropodidae. RNAcentral also lists the same sequence under 1 other name. The record is from RNAcentral.
GUCUACGGCCAUGCCACCCUAAACAAGCCCGAUCCCGUUUGCAGGGUCAGGCCUGGUUAGUACUUGGAUGGGAGAUCACCUAGGAAGACCAGGUGCUGUAGACA